UUUUAUUUGAGAGUUUGAUCCUGGCUCAGGAUGAACGCUGGCGGCGUGCCUAACACAUGCAAGUUGAGCGAUUUACUUCGGUAAAGAGCGGCGGACGGGUGAGUAACGCGUGGGUAACCUACCCUGUACACACGGAUAACAUACCGAAAGGUAUGCUAAUACGGGAUAAUAUAUUUGAGAGGCAUCUCUUGAAUAUCAAAGGUGAGCCAGUACAGGAUGGACCCGCGUCUGAUUAGCUAGUUGGUAAGGUAACGGCUUACCAAGGCGACGAUCAGUAGCCGACCUGAGAGGGUGAUCGGCCACAUUGGAACUGAGACACGGUCCAAACUCCUAC
RNAcentral lists this ribosomal RNA (334 nucleotides) under Clostridioides difficile. RNAcentral's name for it is "bacterial SSU rRNA". It matches the Rfam family "Bacterial small subunit ribosomal RNA", at positions 1 to 342 of the family's 1533-position model. Lineage: Bacteria; Bacillati; Bacillota; Clostridia; Peptostreptococcales; Peptostreptococcaceae. The record is from RNAcentral.